Molecule: long non-coding RNA, 290 nt
Filed under: Capsella rubella
Lineage: Eukaryota; Viridiplantae; Streptophyta; Magnoliopsida; Brassicales; Brassicaceae
Description: long non-coding RNA (CRUB_LNC002042)
Source: RNAcentral
UCUAAACAAAAGGAAGUUACCAUUUCCGCGACUACAAAAAACCCACUUGCUCGCAACUACCUUCAGAUAACCAACUUCGUCAUAAUAAAAGCUUAAUUUACAAUGCAUCACAACGAUUAGAUUUCCAUUUCAAUUCGACUACAUCCCCCAAGAACGAGCAUAACAUGUCUAGUAGUCAUCCAAAAUCUCUUCUUCCUCUUCUUUACCUUCAGCAUCUUUGUUGUCAUCAUCUGCGCUCUCAACUUCCUUCUCCUCAGCAUCAUCAGCUUGUUUCUCCUCAGCAUCAUCAG